UGAGGAAUAUUGGUCAAUGGGCGAAAGCCUGAACCAGCCAUGCCGCGUGAAGGAAUAAGGCCCUAUGGGUCGUAAACUUCUUUUGUAUCGGAGCAAUAAGGGCCACGAGUGGUCCGAUGAGAUUACGAUACGAAUAAGCAUCGGCUAACUCCGUGCCAGCAGCCGCGGUAAUACGGAGGAUGCAAGCGUUAUCCGGAUUUAUUGGGUUUAAAGGGUGCGUAGGCGGAUUAUUAAGUCAGCGGUGAAAGCGUGUGGCUCAACCAUACAGUUGCCGUUGAUACUGGUAGUCUUGAGUGUAAACGAGGUAGGCGGAAUGUGAUGUGUAGCGGUGAAAUGCUUAGAUAUGUCACAGAACCCCGAUUGCGAAGGCAGCUUACCAGGAUACGACUGACGCUGAGGCACGAAAGCGUGGGUAUCAAACAGGAUUAGAUA
This 432-nucleotide ribosomal RNA is filed under the name uncultured Porphyromonadaceae bacterium. RNAcentral's name for it is "bacterial SSU rRNA". It matches the Rfam family "Bacterial small subunit ribosomal RNA", at positions 355 to 784 of the family's 1533-position model. Lineage: Bacteria; Pseudomonadati; Bacteroidota; Bacteroidia; Bacteroidales; Porphyromonadaceae. The record is from RNAcentral.